GGGGUUGUGGCUCAGUGGUAGAGCACUUGCCUAGCAUGCCUGAGGCACAGGGCUUGAUCCCCUGCACCACA
Molecule: transfer RNA, 71 nt
Filed under: Marmota monax (woodchuck)
Lineage: Eukaryota; Metazoa; Chordata; Mammalia; Rodentia; Sciuridae
Description: tRNA.Ala
Rfam family: tRNA
About the family: Transfer RNA (tRNA) molecules are approximately 80 nucleotides in length.
Source: RNAcentral